Molecule: ribosomal RNA, 468 nt
Filed under: uncultured bacterium
Lineage: Bacteria
Description: partial 16S ribosomal RNA
Rfam family: Bacterial small subunit ribosomal RNA
Source: RNAcentral
GACGAACGCUGGCGGCGUGCUUAACACAUGCAAGUCGAACGGAAAGGCCCUGCUUUUGUGGGGUGCUCGAGUGGCGAACGGGUGAGUAACACGUGAGUAACCUGCCCUUGACUUUGGGAUAACUUCAGGAAACUGGGGCUAAUACCGGAUAGGAGCUCCUGCUGCAUGGUGGGGGUUGGAAAGUUUCGGCGGUUGGGGAUGGACUCGCGGCUUAUCAGCUUGUUGGUGGGGUAGUGGCUUACCAAGGCUUUGACGGGUAGCCGGCCUGAGAGGGUGACCGGCCACAUUGGGACUGAGAUAAGGCCCAGAAUCCUACGGGAGGCAGGAGUGGGGAAUAUUGCACAAUGGGCGGAAGCCUGAUGCAGCAACGCCGCGGGCGGGAUGACGGCCUUCGGGUUGUAAACCGCUUUCGCCUGUGACGAAGCGUGAGUGAAGGUAAUGGGUAAAGAAGCACCGGCUAACUACGUG